This 287-nucleotide long non-coding RNA is filed under the name Ictidomys tridecemlineatus (thirteen-lined ground squirrel). RNAcentral's name for it is "lncRNA (ENSSTOG00000032698.1)". Lineage: Eukaryota; Metazoa; Chordata; Mammalia; Rodentia; Sciuridae. The record is from RNAcentral.
UCCCCCUCGUGGUUGGGGGCUCUUACAUGGUAUUUGACGGGUCGGGCUCGGAUGUGCGCAUUUCCGGACCUUAAGUUGUAUCUAUUGCACCGGGGACUGGGUACUCCCAUACCUCGCUGAGCUCGCCUCGUCGGAGCCCACCGUCCCCGAAGGUGCGUGCACGGACCACUUGGACUCCGUGUCUUGGCCAAGGCUUAGGGUCAGACUUCAGGCUCCCUCCUUCCUGCACCGACCCAUUUCUUCUCCUCCAGAGAGGUUCAGAGGCCGAAGCUGAGCCUCCCACAGAA